Molecule: ribosomal RNA, 497 nt
Filed under: uncultured bacterium
Lineage: Bacteria
Description: partial 16S ribosomal RNA
Rfam family: Bacterial small subunit ribosomal RNA
Source: RNAcentral
GAUGAACGCUGGCGGCGUGCCUAAUACAUGCAAGUCGAGCGAACAGAUGAGGAGCUUGCUCCUCUGACGUUAGCGGCGGACGGGUGAGUAACACGUGGAUAACCUACCUAUAAGACUGGGAUAACUUCGGGAAACCGGAGCUAAUACCGGAUAAUAUAUUGAACCGCAUGGUUCAAUAGUGAAAGACGGUUUUGCUGUCACUUAUAGAUGGAUCCGUGCCGCAUUAGCUAGUUGGUAAGGUAACGGCUUACCAAGGCAACGAUGCGUAGCCGACCUGAGAGGGUGAUCGGCCACACUGGAACUGAGACACGGUCCAGACUCCUACGGGAGGCAGCAGUAGGGAAUCUUCCGCAAUGGGCGAAAGCUUGACGGAGCAACGCCGCGUGAGUGAUGAAGGUCUUCGGAUCGUAAAACUCUGUUAUUAGGGAAGAACAAAUGUGUAAGUAACUAUGCACGUCUUGACGGUACCUAAUCAGAAAGCCACGGCUAACUACGUG